Mercenaria mercenaria is the source of this 1462-nucleotide long non-coding RNA. RefSeq lists it as uncharacterized. NCBI's taxonomy places the organism in Eukaryota, Metazoa, Mollusca, Bivalvia, Venerida, Veneridae. The transcript has 3 exons. The record is from RefSeq and is a predicted model, not a curated record.
GAUUUGUUUGGCUAUUUGAUGGUGUUUGUGGUGGUUUUGGUGUUUGUUGUGGUGUUUGUAGUGGUGUUUUGGUGUUUGUUGUGUUGUUGGUGUCUUCCAUGUGGUCUUCUCGGUUGUAUUCGAUCAUGUUUGUGUUGUUUUGUUAAAAUGGGCGUUUGGUGCGAAUUGUAUGUCGCAUUUAGUUCUUCAUCGUUCGUUCCGUUACAAGGUGAAUUUCUUUUUGCCACUAGCAGUACAUUAUAAAUAGAUUUAUUCAUGUACACAAAAACUGCUUUUUGAUUAAUUUGUUUUACGUUUCCCAUCAGUUUUAGAUAGCUGCAAAGACAUGUCAUGAAAUUUGCAGACGACAGAUAUUGGGUGCAGGCGAGAUCUGGGUUGAACGCGCGAAAGCUGCAAAGACAUGCCAUGAAAUAUGCAGACGACAGACAUGCGGUGCAGACGAGAUCUGGGUUGAACGCGCGAAAUUGUUUUGUUUUAUUUCUGCAUUUUACGCUUUUUGUUUUGUAUUUCUUUUUUUCUACUAGAAUGCUGGGGUAUGUGUACUUGAAGAAAAAAAGACGCAGACGGACAGGACAUGGAGAUGCAGACCAAGCAAAAUGUGCGUUUCUCUUUAUGAUGAACAGACAAUGCAAUGGUUUAGUGGAUGGUGCAGCUCUGGUACAUGAUAUUGACUACAAGCACGUGCGUGGAUGUCAUGUUGUAGAUUUCACAGUGGUUAAGUCAGUGCUGCAACUUGAUCCUUUUUCUAAGGUAUGUAAUUUUUCUGACAGGUACAAUUAGAUAAUUUCGUUUGAUAGCUUUUUUGCAGUUUAUAUUUUCUGGUUAUCGUAUGGUCGUACAUGGUUUUAAUUUUUUUUAUUUUUAACUCAUUACUGUUAAUUGUUAGAUAAUGACUACCAGUAUUCAGUUAAGCAGUGCAUAACUUUAAACCUUUAGAAAGCAAAGAACUAUUUUUCUCGUAAUUCUGGAGCGUAGGAAUGUGCAUUCAACUUAUGGCUAUGGUGAAAGAAAAGCUCGAAGUAUCGGACAAGAAACUCAAAACUAUUCGAUAAGAAACUCAGGCUAUCAGACGAGGAACCCGAACUGUCCGACAAGAAGCAGUUUCCUGUACCAUACACGAAGAAAAAUUUAGUUGAUGGAACUACGGUUGUCGUGGAAUUGCCUUGCUGGUACUAAAAAGAUGCCGAUAACCAGGGGGACACUGGUAACCAAUCGAUGUCGCUAAUCAGAGGUGUUCUGGGUCCCUUAUGUCAACAUAGUAAUCAUUUGUUCUCGACAAGGUGGGCUACUAAAUCACUUUAGAAUUGCUAUUUACGCGCUUGUAUUACAUCUAAGGUUUCUGACUUAUCUGAAACAAUGUUAAAUGUGACAGGCACAGCAAAAAGCUAUUGUUGACAUCUGGUUCUGUGACAUAACUUUCCUUUUUUCCUGAACAUAUUGAGAGAUUUGUCAAGUUAUAUAU